RNAcentral lists this ribosomal RNA (108 nucleotides) under uncultured bacterium. RNAcentral's name for it is "partial 16S ribosomal RNA". It matches the Rfam family "Bacterial small subunit ribosomal RNA", at positions 1360 to 1482 of the family's 1533-position model. The record is from RNAcentral.
CGGUGAAUACGUUCCCGGGCUCUUGUACACACCGCCCGUCAAACCAUGAAAGUGACCAACACCCGAAGUCCGAUUCGUCGGCCUAAGGUGGGGGGCAUGAUUGGGGUU